This 424-nucleotide long non-coding RNA is filed under the name Sorghum bicolor (sorghum). RNAcentral describes it as "long non-coding RNA (SBIC_LNC018840)". Lineage: Eukaryota; Viridiplantae; Streptophyta; Magnoliopsida; Poales; Poaceae. The record is from RNAcentral.
GGUGAAGGGGCCAUUGAGUUUCAUGCACCGACCAGUUUGGCAUUUUAGCGGCCAGUUCGGCAAAUUAGCGUGGAGAGCAAUGAUUAGAGGAUCUUGUUGAGGUCUCAUUAGUACUUAACACAUGCAAAAAAGUAGAUUUUGAUGCUCUUCAAAGUGUAUUAGUGGCUCCCUUUAAUCUCCCUCCAAGUAGAUUAGAAUGGAAGCCAAGGCCCCAAGAGAGGUUGGCCUCUAGCUCUAGGCUUAAUCGGUGAGGUAGAGAUGAUGUUAAUGCCUUACUCUUAAUGGAGUACUUGCACUUGAGAUUAGUAUGUGGAAGCUCCCAUUUACUGCCACUAGCAGGUGCCAUCCUUCCUUUCUGCCAACAGUGUCCUCUGUACUCCUAUUGUACCAGGCUGAUGAAUUCAUGGAGCACCUUUUCUCUUUA